RNA transcript from Carassius gibelio (silver crucian carp), 2276 nucleotides. RefSeq lists it as uncharacterized. The record is from RefSeq and is a predicted model, not a curated record. The transcript has 13 exons. NCBI's taxonomy places the organism in Eukaryota, Metazoa, Chordata, Actinopteri, Cypriniformes, Cyprinidae.
GAGUUCUGCUCGGGACCGAGCCAACCUGGUUUUCUCUUUGUUUAGCCACCGCCUCCCCUCAUGACAUCAACACUGCGGAGAGCCGUCGCGCGCUCAGACUCUGCUGCAGAACAGCACGCCAGUGCGCAAAGCGGAUCGUGCGCUAUUGAUGAGUGAUUGGUGAUCUAUCAGCAUGUCGCUGUACGCGUCUCAGAUUAAAGCGUUUAAAAGCGCGGAGCCCAAGACACUUGGCGCUAUUGAGAUCAUAAUUGGUGUGUUUACUGUAAUUCUGAGCACAAUUGUGUAUAAGCUGCACUACCAUAUCCAGCGUGAAAUCAUCAUCCUCAUCGUCAACGGUGCUCAGCUUGUCAUAACUGGUGUUGUCCUGGUGCACACUGGGAGAAAGCCAUCUAAAUGUUUGGUGCUGACAACAUUUGUUCUGCAGUUACUAACAGCAGCAUUUGAUAUUGUUGGAUUUGGGCUCAUGGCCAGACACAUCCCAUUCAGAGGAGACUCGUACUACUACAGGGACACAGAGUGGUGUUGUGACCCACUUCACUCUCUUUCGGCCUGCUGUGGAGAUGGAGAGAAAGAGGCACAAAAAGAGUUCUUAGUGAAUGGGAUCUUGGUGACACUGAUCGGUUUCCUGAUGCUAGCAUGUGCCAUUGGUUUGGUUGUUUCUCUUUUUGGGGUCUACGCCCUUUCUGUUAGUGCCAUAAAGGAGCUGACACCUAUCCCACACUCUACAGCAAACCAACAUUAUGGUGUUGGCGUUCAGACCCAGAACGCUAUCCACGCCGGAAACUGACAAAACAAGAGGCAGAAGGGCACAGCUUUAGCACAGUUUUUCACCAACUGCAAAAGAGGACUGUUUCACCUACAAACCACUCACAGGCGGCCAUGUGGAGCUGGAUGAAAAGUCAGCGUAUCCGCACAUGUUGUCCAGAGGACUGCCUAAGAGACAUCACAUCGUGACGUACAUACUACCAAAGAGCUCUCAAUCACACCUGCAGCUUCAGACUUGUUUGCACCCUGAUCCUGCUGAAGACAGUGUGUGUGUGUGGGUUGAUGCAAGUCUGCUGUAGACGUGUGACGGAGGUCUCUUGGUGAGGACAUUGAACGAAUCAGCACUGGAACCAAAUUUGCCUUAGAACUGUGGUUGAAAACACAGGAGCCUCAUGCUGAGAUGGGCUGAUGACUUAUCUCUGCCUGCUUCUGUUUAUGUUACCAUUUAACCAUUGCUUUGAGGAAGACUGCACCACCUACUUUCUUACACACACAGUUAUAAAUGCUUUAUUUUAAAGGUGAACAAAUUAUUUUGUUGUUCACAUGACCAGCAGAACAUUCACUUGUUUCAGGAACCAGUGAACAGACACUUCCAUAUGCAGAAUAAACGGAUCAUGUCAAAUACACCUAUUAAUUGGAUAGACAACAGCAUAGACAAAAAUACAGGAAAAAUGAAAUUUCAUCACAGAUUACAUUUGACCGCCGAGAUAAUCUGCAGAAUUUCACUUGCUUCACAUUUCCUCUGACACAUUUAUGUUCUUGUUGUUGAAAUACUCAGUAUCUUGAUUUCGCAAUCAAGUUAAUGCCUGGCACAUUUUUACCCUCUUUGCUAUUAGAAAGAAUUUGAGCUGAAGUGACACAGAGCCGUCUACUUCUGUUUGGUUUAUUUCAUAUUGAAUCUGUCACCCAUUGCACAAAUUUGUUAAAACUCCUACAUUUGAUCUGUGGUACAACCAGGCAGUGUGACAAAAAAAAAUAGGAUUUUUUCCCAAUGAAACAGUAUUUUCCAUUAAUAUUCAAAAAUAUUAAAGCCGCCACACUGCCAUUUUAAGAAGAUCUUUUUAAUUACACUAAAUCUCUGUUAAUACAGCACAUGACUGUCAUCAUUCAAUCCAUUUUUACAAGUUACAAAUUACUUUGUGCAAAGGUAUAUGGUAGGAAAAUAAAUUCUAAAUAAUAAUGGAAUGUAAAAUCAUUUCCCUGUCGGUUUAGCAUCCUGCUGUGCAGUGCCAGAUGUAUGACAGUUAUUCAUCCAACAUAAGGAUUUCUGCAGGCCUCGUUCUUCUUAAGCAGAGGAAAGGACAAUGCUGGGGGUCAGAAAAGCUGAAUGAUGGAGUUAAAGCAGGGCAUUGUGAGCGGUGACGCCGGAGCUACUGGACGAUGGAGGAGACAUGGACGGAGGCCUCCCAGUCUCUGGACGAGAGUCGAGUUUCCCACGCUUCAGGUUUCUUAGUCAGGGCUGCACAAAGAGGGGCCUGUGCAAGCAACGGUGGUGCUGGGACACCAAGUAA